Molecule: long non-coding RNA, 2933 nt
Organism: Papaver somniferum (opium poppy)
Lineage: Eukaryota; Viridiplantae; Streptophyta; Magnoliopsida; Ranunculales; Papaveraceae
Exons: 5
Source: RefSeq, a predicted model, not a curated record
UGAUGUAAAAUGUUCAAAGAGGUUAUUUCCGUCAUUUAGACUAAUAUUAUCUCCAAUUCGGAUCACAGGACCAAUUUUUCUCGACAUCACCUUUCCCAAAUUCUCGAAAUGAAUUUUAUUACAAGCAAAUGAAUCAUUCAAUCUCUUUGAAAAGCAAAUGAAUCAUUCAAUCUCUUUGAAAAAUCUUGAAUCAUGUUUCGAUGCUCGAUCAUUCUCUUCAUAAGUUUUUCCUAGAUCUGAAAUCUAUAAGACCAAUAAAAGUUCCUACAAAUUCAAAAAUCAUAUUCUUCUUAAAUUCAUGAUAAAAAUCAGUCACCCAUCACCUUUUAUCAUCUGAGAAUUAAUGUUUGCGCUAUUUAACAGAGGAAUUCUAUAUUUCAGAUGAAGAUAAUGCUGGAAUUUCAAAUGUUAGUCUCCCCAGAUGAUGUGUUUGUUAAUUAAUCUAAGUUAUUUCAAAUAUUUCAGAUGUUCUCAACCAAAAAAGCCAAGAAGUGGAGUUUGUGUUCCAUAACACAUCAUGUAAAGAAGUUGAGCAGCACAGACCCUCUUCUAUUCUUGGACAUGUUUUUUGUAAAUGACCUUCACGAUUAGUAGUUUUAACCAACGAUUAUUUCGGAUCAAAAUCGGGAAUUAGCGUACAAAAAAUCGUUGAUUAAUAGUAAGACCCUCCUAGCAAUAGUCUAGAAGUAAUGAAUAGUUGGCAAUGGCUUAAUGCAAGGUAUACAAUGGGACUAAGUUUAAAGCUAUAUUUACGAAUCAAAAAUAAACCUUAAUUAAUCAAUGUUGUCGCAAAAAUGAUAACAACCAAUUAACAAAUAGUUUGACAGUAGAUUAUAAUAGAACUUCCGGAAAGAAAAUGUUAGUUGUUUCAAGUUCUUCAGUCUUGUCUUCUAGAGGUACUGUUAUUCUAUUGGCAGCAGGGCUUCUUGAUAAUGCCACUUAAGGCUGGUCGUGGCUGAACACAGGUUUCUUCAAGUCUGUUCCAACAUACUUAACAAAUUGUCCUUGUGAUUUAUUAAUUGUCAUUGCAAAUGCUACCCUCACUGGAAAUUGACGUCUUGUCAUGUUUAUAUUCAAUUCUGAAACCGAUGGCUGAAAUGAUAUCCUUGGUAACAAUACCGUCUCUCUUGCUUUGUGAUCGGUUAGAAUUUUAGCCUGAAGUACAUGUCCACCGCAUUUAGUAACCAAUAAUCUGGUACCAUUGCAAAUACCCUCGGAUGGAGACAGAUUUCUCAUCAGGAUAAUUGGAUAUCCAAUUUUAAGAUUUAUCCGGAAUAAGGGCAUUCCUGGUGAAUUUAAAUUCUGUAAAAAUUCGUUGCUAUAAUUUGGGAUUAUGCCACUUUUGUCGGGAUUCAAUCUGUCUGCGGCUAAAUAAGUGAACGUCUCUCCAUCCAAAAUAUUCAAUGCUUCCAUCUUAAUAUCGUUAACAUCAUCAUUACAUGCUGAUAAAAUGAUUCUCUCGGUUAAUUCUUCAAGUGAUACUUGAUUAGAUGUCCCUAAAGAGGGGUACAAUUUAGAUAUCAACUCUUUCAUGUAUUUGCAUCUAUGUACCGAUGAAGGGAGUUCUACUUUUUCUUCUGCUUUUGAUCCGACCUAUCAUAAAUUUGUAUAACAUAUAAGCCAAGCAACAAGAUGGUAAUGGGGUGUAUACCUUCUCGCCUGGUGUGGACAUCUCUCGUGUUGUUGAUCGUAAACGUAACAAAUACCUCGCAUCUGUUCUAGCCAUGGUUAUUGCUUUGGUACCUUGGCUUUCACGACUUUGGGCGAGCUUGGUGUUUUCUUAAAAAAACUAAAUUUUUUUCUUACUAGACAUGAUUCAACUUCCAAAGUAGGCAAUUUUUUGUUUCACAGAAUAGGUGUAGCUAUUCAGAAGGGGGUUGGAGCCCAGGUUGUUGCUCUGCUUCCAACUAUUUUGUCUUCUGAGAUUACUUAAGUUCUAUUGUAAUUGGUUAAGUCUUUUUAACACAUAUAAUUAAAAAAAAAUUGAAUCUUUUUUUUUUAAAUUUUAAAAAGCAGUGUGAACAAAUAUUACCUCGGGUAAGAAUUCGGCGAAAGCUAUGUUUUCCGGAUCGCACCGAUCAAGACGCAUAUUCUUUGUAAGCGUCAAAACUAUAUCAUUCCAGAGUACAAAGCUUCUAACGCAUGAUCCAACAACAUCUGCACGGCCUCCAUUUGGUAUAACUGGUAAAGUUUGGCGGAAGUCUCCCCCUAUAACAACGGUAAUACCGCCAAAAGCAACUUAAAUAAUCAUCAAUAAAUAAUUUGAAGGAACCAUCAAAACAAAGCAGCCAUGCAGAAAUGGAGAAAACGUUGUCAGGGUAAUCAUGUUAUUUAAAGUAGAUUGCACCUUUUAAAGCAUUGGAUAAAUACUUGAUGAUGCAACAAUAAGAACUAUGCGCCAGUGAAUCGGCAGCUUGCAGCUACCGUAUUAUAUACGAAAGCUUUCCCCGUCCCUGCGCUUCCAUUUAAAAAAAAAGAAGGAGAUGUGCAAUUGUAUCAAAACCCUCACCGACAAGAUGGCAGAGAAGACUCAAGAGAAGGGGAAAGCCAAAGAAACAGUUGAUUAUGAAGUUGUGCUAGUCCACAUAGUUGAGGAUGAUGAAGCCCGCAAAGCUGUAGAAAACCUACCAACAAAGGAGCCUGCCGGUUUUAUCCUCGUGAAGAUCUGGAAUGCUUUAUGGAGGAUCGAGGGAAAGGAAAUGCACCGUCAGUCCAUCGUCAUCAACCUCCAUACCCUUCUGCUACGCAAAGAAUCCCUUUCCCAAAAGGCUACACUUCUCCAACAUUCACGUUGUACAAUGGGACAUGGAAUGCUCGAGAACAUAUCUCCCGGUUCUUGGAAGAGCUAGGCGAGCAUGAGCACAACCAUGUUGUCCGUCUGAAAGAAUUCUCAAAAUCUCUGACAUGACGAGCAUACACAUGGUACAACAACA